GGAUGAUAUAGUAUUUCCAGCUUUGGAAUCAAAAGAGACGCUUCAUAAUGUUAGCCAUUCUUACACCUUGGACCACAAACAGGAAGAAAAGCUAUUCGAGGAUAUAUCAUCUGCACUUGAUGAGCUUUCUCAGCUCCGUGAAAACUUGAAUGGUGGGAGUUCAGUUAAAGGUCCGUGUAGAAACUCUGGUGCUUGUGACUUACAUGAAUAUUCAAGAAAAUACAAUGAGCUGGCAACUAAAGUUCAAGCCAUGUGCAAAUCGAUAAAAGUAACCCUGGAUCAACAUGUUAUACGGGAGGAAGUUGAGCUAUGGCCGCUAUUUGACCGGCAUUUUAGCAUUGAAGAACAAGACAAACUAGUUGGUAGGAUAAUAGGUACA
This 379-nucleotide unclassified non-coding RNA is filed under the name Hevea brasiliensis (rubber tree). The record is from RNAcentral. Lineage: Eukaryota; Viridiplantae; Streptophyta; Magnoliopsida; Malpighiales; Euphorbiaceae.